GGGACUGUGGCUUAGUGGUAGAGUGCUUGCCUAGCAUGCAUGAAGCCCUGGGUUUGUUUCCUCAGUACCA
This is a non-coding RNA of Dipodomys ordii (Ord's kangaroo rat), 70 nucleotides long. The record is from Rfam. NCBI's taxonomy places the organism in Eukaryota, Metazoa, Chordata, Mammalia, Rodentia, Heteromyidae.